CCUACGGGAGGCAGCAGUGAGGAAUAUUGGACAAUGGGCGCAAGCCUGAUCCAGCCAUGCCGCGUGCAGGAAGAAGCAUCUAUGGUGCGUAAACUGCUUUUGUACAGGAAGAAACACUCCCUCGUGAGGGAGCUUGACGGUACUGUAAGAAUAAGGACCGGCUAACUCCGUGCCAGCAGCCGCGGUAAUACGGAGGGUCCGAGCGUUAUCCGGAAUCAUUGGGUUUAAAGGGUCCGUAGGCGGUUUAAUAAGUCAGUGGUGAAAUCUGGUCGCUCAACGAUCAAACGGCCAUUGAUACUGUUAGACUUGAAUUAUAAGGAAGUAACUAGAAUAUGUAGUGUAGCGGUGAAAUGCUUAGAUAUUACAUGGAAUACCAAUUGCGAAGGCAGGUUACUACUUAUGGAUUGACGCUGAUGGACGAAAGCGUGGGGAGCGAACAGGAUUAGAUACCCUGGUAGUCCACGCCGUAAACGAUGGAUACUAGCUGUUCGGAGNAUCUGNGUGNGUAGACGAAGUAGAUAAGUAAUACCACCCGUCGGGAGGUACGGUUCGUCGAAGAAGUAGAAACGUACGAAAGAAAGUUAGUACGGACGUGAGACGUAGACCGACGGACGACGACGAGGGAGGGAGGGAGG
RNAcentral lists this ribosomal RNA (635 nucleotides) under uncultured bacterium. RNAcentral describes it as "bacterial SSU rRNA". The stretch from base 1 to 533 matches the Rfam family "Bacterial small subunit ribosomal RNA", at positions 338 to 873 of the family's 1533-position model. The record is from RNAcentral.